GGGCGAUUAGCUCAUUUGGCUAGAGCGCUUCAUUGACGUUGAAGAGGUGAGAGGUUCGAAUCCUCUAUUGCCCA
Molecule: transfer RNA, 74 nt
Filed under: TM7 phylum sp. oral taxon 346
Lineage: Bacteria; Candidatus Saccharimonadota
Also listed under: 5 other names
Rfam family: tRNA
About the family: Transfer RNA (tRNA) molecules are approximately 80 nucleotides in length. Their secondary structure includes four short double-helical elements and three loops (D, anti-codon, and T loops).
Source: Rfam by way of RNAcentral